UACGUAGGGAGCAAGCGUUGUUCGGAUUUACUGGGCGUAAAGGGCGCGUAGGCGGCGCGGUAAGUCACUUGUGAAAUCUCUGAGCUUAACUCAGAACGGCCAAGUGAUACUGCAGUGCUAGAGUGCAGAAGGGGCAAUCGGAAUUCUUGGUGUAGCGGUGAAAUGCGUAGAUAUCAGGAGGAAUACCGAUGGCGAAGGCAGGUCUCUGGGCUGACACUGACGCUCAUGCACGAAAGCGUGGGGAGCAAACAGG
This 253-nucleotide ribosomal RNA is filed under the name uncultured bacterium. Its description in RNAcentral is "partial 16S ribosomal RNA". It matches the Rfam family "Bacterial small subunit ribosomal RNA", at positions 524 to 776 of the family's 1533-position model. The record is from RNAcentral.